This 680-nucleotide ribosomal RNA is filed under the name uncultured anaerobic ammonium-oxidizing bacterium. RNAcentral describes it as "bacterial SSU rRNA". It matches the Rfam family "Bacterial small subunit ribosomal RNA", at positions 585 to 1254 of the family's 1533-position model. The record is from RNAcentral.
AAGUCAGAUGUGAAAGCCUUCUGUUCAACGGAAGAAUUGCAUCUGAAACUGCGAGUCUUGAGUGUAGGAGGGGAGAAUGGAACUUCUGGUGGAGCGGUGAAAUGCGUAGAUAUCAGAAGGAACGCCGGCGGCGAAAGCGAUUCUCUGGCCUAUUACUGACACUCAGUGUGCGAAAGCUAGGGGAGCAAACGGGAUUAGAUACCCCGGUAGUCCUAGCCGUAAACGAUGGGCGCUAAGUAGAGGGAAUUACCGAUAUUCUCUCUGCCGUGGCUAACGCAUUAAGUGCCCCGCCUGGGGAGUACGGCCGCAAGGCUAAAACUCAAAAGAAUUGACGGGGGCUCGCACAAGCGGUGGAGCAUGUGGCUUAAUUCGAUGCAACGCGAAAAACCUUACCGGGGCUUGACAUGAUAGAAGUAGGAACCCGAAAGGGUAACGAACGGUAUCCAGUCCGUAGCUAUUACAGGUGUUGCAUGGCUGUCGUCAGCUCGUGUCGUGAGACGUUGGGUUAAGUCCCCUAACGAGCGAAACCCUUGUUUUUAGUUGCCAGCGGGUUGUGCCGGGCACUCUAGAAAGACUGCCGUCGUCAAGACGGAGGAAGGUGGGGACGACGUCAAGUCAUCAUGGCCCUUAUGCCCCGGGCUGCACACGUGCUACAAUGGUCGGUACAAACGGAAGCGAAG